RNAcentral lists this transfer RNA (361 nucleotides) under uncultured Microcystis sp. Its description in RNAcentral is "partial 16S-23S ribosomal RNA intergenic spacer". The stretch from base 136 to 209 matches the Rfam family "tRNA". The record is from RNAcentral. Lineage: Bacteria; Bacillati; Cyanobacteriota; Cyanophyceae; Chroococcales; Microcystaceae.
AAAGGGAGACCUAAUUCGGGUAUAAGACGAAAAAAUAGUAGUCGAAACCAAGAAUCAAUCCCAAAAGGUCGGAGCGAGGCGAAAUUGGCUUUCAAACUAGGUUCUGGGUUCAAACAAGACCUGAAUCAGGAACAAGGGCUAUUAGCUCAGGUGGUUAGAGCGCACCCCUGAUAAGGGUGAGGUCCCUGGUUCGAGUCCAGGAUGGCCCACCUGCACAGGUGGCAAAAACAAGAGAAGCGAGGAAUCAGCACCUUAUCUUACUUAUAUAGUAAGAGAGAAUGCUGGCUCUGAGUAAAGAGUCCAGAGGAACCUUGAAAACUGCAUAGAGCUAGGUGAAAAAGCCAAAAAAGAAGACCGCAAG